UGGUAGGGGUUGUCGUUGGGGUAAUGGUAGGGGUUGUUGUUGGGGUAAUGGUAGGGGUUGUGGUUGGGGUAAUGGUAGGGGUUGUUGUUGGGGUAAUGGUAGGGGUUGUCGUUGGGGUAAUGGUAGGGGUUGUCGUUGGGGUAAUGGUAAGGGUUGUUGUUGGGGUAAUGGUAGGGGUUGUCGAUGGGGUAAUGGUAAGGGUUGUCGUUGGGGUAAUGGUAGGGGUUGUGGUUGGGGUAAUGGUAAGGGUUGUCAUUGGGGUAAUGGUAAGGGUUGUCGUUGGGGUAAUGGUAGGGGUUGUCGUUGGGGUAAUGGUAAGGGUUGUGGUUGGGGUAAUGGUAAGGGUUGUGGUUGGGUUUGAUAUAGUAGUUUCUUCUGUCUGUAUUGUCA
Oncorhynchus tshawytscha (Chinook salmon) is the source of this 390-nucleotide long non-coding RNA. NCBI's taxonomy places the organism in Eukaryota, Metazoa, Chordata, Actinopteri, Salmoniformes, Salmonidae. The record is from Ensembl.